UCGUCUUGUCUUGGACCUUGUACUUCUCACUUUUUGUAUGCCCAAGUGAAAGGAGUAUCUGUUCCCCAAAAUACAAACAAUUGCCUGUUGGCAAUGUAAGAACCAUGACAAGUUGUAUGUGCCCACCUGCUGGGAAAAGUAGCAGUUCUUUGGAAAAGCAAAUAAAAUGCAUCUUUGUUGGCCUCUUAAAGAGGACAAGUUGAUUUCGUGUGUGGGCUAGUUAAUGUUCAUGUUUUUCCAGGCUGCCCUAAAGCCCUUGUUCGUACAUUUCUAGUAUUGUCUCUUCCAGUUUACAACUUUAUUAUUGUAUGUUUCAUAGAAACACAAACAUCUGGAGAACAUCCUCAGGUAUAACUGCUGGGCAGUGCAGAAAAUAUCUGGUGUGAUCUGAAACAGCUUUUUCUUCCCAUGAAAGUACACCUCUGGGACUGGGAAAUUUCAAAGAUAAAUCCAAACUCCACUCCACUCGUUCAAGCAGCUUGUCCUUAUCAAGAUCUGUGGGCUGGGCAGUCAGCUGUUGGAGGUCUGUAAAAGAAUAAGCCUGAGAUUGUUCACAGGAAUUUUCAGCUUCAAUGCAGAGGAAAGAAAACUCUUCCAACUGGACUUCUACACCACUGAGAAGAAAUAAC
Molecule: long non-coding RNA, 629 nt
Filed under: Catharus ustulatus (Swainson's thrush)
Lineage: Eukaryota; Metazoa; Chordata; Aves; Passeriformes; Turdidae
Description: lncRNA (ENSCUSG00005005805.1)
Source: RNAcentral